This 228-nucleotide ribosomal RNA is filed under the name uncultured bacterium. RNAcentral's name for it is "partial 16S ribosomal RNA". It matches the Rfam family "Bacterial small subunit ribosomal RNA", at positions 568 to 795 of the family's 1533-position model. The record is from RNAcentral.
CAUGUAGGCGGACUAUUAAGUCUGGUGUGAAAGCCCGGGGCUCAACCCCGGAAGUGCAUUGGAUACUGGUAGUCUUGAGUAUGGGAGAGGAAAGUGGAAUUCCGAGUGUAGGAGUGAAAUCCGUAGAUAUUCGGAGGAACACCAGUGGCGAAGGCGGCUUUCUGGACCAAUACUGACGCUGAGAUGCGAAAGCGUGGGGAGCGAACAGGAUUAGAUACCCUGGUAGUC